RNAcentral lists this ribosomal RNA (254 nucleotides) under uncultured bacterium. RNAcentral's name for it is "partial 16S ribosomal RNA". It matches the Rfam family "Bacterial small subunit ribosomal RNA", at positions 524 to 777 of the family's 1533-position model. The record is from RNAcentral.
UACGGGGGGGGCAAGCGUUGUUCGGAAUUACUGGGCGUAAAGGGCUCGUAGGUGGCCAGCUAAGUCAGACGUGAAAUCCCUCGGCUUAACCGGGGAACUGCGUCUGAUACUGGAUGGCUCGAGUGUGGGAGAGGGAUGCGGAAUUCCAGGUGUAGCGGUGAAAUGCGUAGAUAUCUGGAGGAACACCGGUGGCGAAGGCAGCUCGCUGGGACGUGACUGACGCUGAGACGCGAAAGCGUGGGGAGCAAACAGGG